CGAACGCUGGCGGCGUGCUUAACACAUGCAAGUCGAACGGAAAGGCCCUGCUUUUGUGGGGUGCUCGAGUGGCGAACGGGUGAGUAACACGUGAGUAACCUGCCCUUGACUUUGGGAUAACUUCAGGAAACUGGGGCUAAUACCGGAUAGGAGCUCCUGCUGCAUGGUGGGGGUUGGAAAGUUUCGGCGGUUGGGGAUGGACUCGCGGCUUAUCAGCUUGUUGGUGGGGUAGUGGCUUACCAAGGCUUUGACGGGUAGCCGGCCUGAGAGGGUGACCGGCCACAUUGGGACUGAGAUACGGCCCAGACUCCUACGGGAGGCAGCAGUGGGGAAUAUUGCACAAUGGGCGGAAGCCUGAUGCAGCAACGCCGCGUGCGGGAUGACGGCCUUCGGGUUGUAAACCGCUUUCGCCUGUGACGAAGCGUGAGUGACGGUAAUGGGUAAAGAAGCACCGGCUAACUACGUGCCAGCAGCCGCGGUGAUACGUAGGGUGCGAGCGUUGUCCGGAUUUAUUGGGCGUAAAGGGCUCGUAGGUGGUUGAUCGCGUCAGAAGUGUAAUCUUGGGGCUUAACCCUGAGCGUGCUUUCGAUACGGGUUGACUUGAGGAAGGUAGGGGAGAAUGGAAUUCUGGUGGAGCGGUGGAAUGCGCAGAUAUCAGGAGGAACACCAGUGCGAAGGCGGUUCUCUGGGCCUUCCUGACGCUGAGAGCGAAAGCGUGGGAAGCGAACAGGCUUAGAUACCUGGUAGUCCACGCUGUAAACGGUGGGUACUAGGUGUGGGGUCCAUUCCACGGGUUCCGUGCCGUAGCUAACGCUUUAAGUACCCCGCCUGGGGAGUACGGCCGCAAGGCUAAAACUCAAAGGAAUUGACGGGGCCCCGCACAAGCGGCGGAGCAUGCGGAUUAAUUCGAUGCAACGCGUAGAACCUUACCUGGGUUUGACAUGGAUCGGGAGUGCUCAGAGAUGGGUGUGCCUCUUUUGGGGUCGGUUCACAGGUGGUGCAUGGCUGUCGUCAGCUCGUGUCGUGAGAUGUUGGGUUAAGUCCCGCAACGAGCGCAACCCUUGUUCACUGUUGCCAGCACGUUAUGGUGGGGACUCAGUGGAGACCGCCGGGGUCAACUCGGAGGAAGGUGGGGAUGACGUCAAGUCAUCAUGCCCCUUAUGUCCAGGGCUUCACGCAUGCUACAAUGGCUGGUACAGAGAGUGGCGAGCCUGUGAGGGUGAGCGAAUCUCGGAAAGCCGGUCUCAGUUCGGAUUGGGGUCUGCAACUCGACCUCAUGAAGUCGGAGUCGCUAGUAAUCGCAGAUCAGCAACGCUGCGGUGAAUACGUUCCCGGGGCUUGUACACACCGCCCGUCAAGUCAUGAAAGUUGGUAACACCCGAAG
RNAcentral lists this ribosomal RNA (1384 nucleotides) under uncultured Actinomycetes bacterium. RNAcentral describes it as "uncultured actinobacterium partial 16S ribosomal RNA". It matches the Rfam family "Bacterial small subunit ribosomal RNA". Lineage: Bacteria; Bacillati; Actinomycetota; Actinomycetes. The record is from RNAcentral.